AGUUCCCACAAAACCAUCGUUGGGACAAAGUCCCAGGACCACCCCCACCCCCACUCCCCGCCGCCGCUGCCCUGCUCCGUCCAUGCUCAUGCCCAACAGCUGAAGAAUGCUGAACCACUCACCAGAGAUAAGGGCAUGUCUAAGAAGACCGUGCCCUGGUCAAGAGACUACCCUUGCUGCUGUUCUCUGGAUUCCACAGCAGCUGGGCAGCACUGAGGGAGACCAUGAGGCACUGGGUCUUCACCUAUGAAGGGCUCCCCUGGGACCGAUCUGUUCAUGGAAGGUACUCGGAGACAGCCCUGAAUCAAGAAGAAAGAGUGCUGGGAUUAAAGGCGUGCGCCACCACUGCCAGCCAAG
Molecule: long non-coding RNA, 357 nt
Organism: Mus musculus (house mouse)
Lineage: Eukaryota; Metazoa; Chordata; Mammalia; Rodentia; Muridae
Product: predicted gene, 40090
Exons: 3
Source: RefSeq, marked validated